RNAcentral lists this non-coding RNA (1086 nucleotides) under Amphinema byssoides. RNAcentral's name for it is "LSU rRNA". It matches the Rfam family "Eukaryotic large subunit ribosomal RNA", at positions 252 to 1417 of the family's 3401-position model. The record is from RNAcentral. Lineage: Eukaryota; Fungi; Basidiomycota; Agaricomycetes; Atheliales; Atheliaceae.
CACUCUCGAAGAGUCGAGUGUUUGGGAAUGCAGCUCAAAAUGGGUGGUAAAUUCCAUCUAAAGCUAAUAUAGGCGAGAGACCGAUAGCGAACAAGUACCGUGAGGGAAAGAUGAAAAGCACUUUGGAAAGAGAGUUAAACAGUACGUGAAAUUGUUGAAAGGGAAACGCUUGAAGUCAGUCGCGUUAGUUGAGACUCAGCCUUGCUUUUGCUUGGUGCAUUUCUUAGCUGACGGGUCAACAUCAAUUUUGAUCAUUGGAAAAAAGACCUUGGGAAUGUGGCACCUUCGGGUGUGUUAUAGCCCUUGGUUGUAUGCAAUGGUUGGGAUUGAGGACCGCAGUGCGCCUUUAUGGUCGGGGUUCGCCCUCGUUCGCACUUAGGAUGUUGGCAUAAUGGCUUUAAGCGACCCGUCUUGAAACACGGACCAAGGAGUCUAACAUGCCUGCGAGUGUUUGGGUGGAAAACCCGAGCGCGUAAUGAAAGUGAAAGUUGAGACCUCUGUCAUGGAGGGCAUCGACGCCCGGACCUGAUGUUUACUGAAGGAUCUGCGGUUGAGCAUGUAUGUUGGGACCCGAAAGAUGGUGAACUAUGCCUGAAUAGGGCGAAGCCAGAGGAAACUCUGGUGGAGGCUCGUAGCGAUUCUGACGUGCAAAUCGAUCGUCAAAUUUGGGUAUAGGGGCGAAAGACUAAUCGAACCAUUGAAAAAGCUACUUUGGUGGUUAAGAGGCACUUGAAAAGGUAGCCUAGUAAGAGUUGAGGAUUGCGACACUAUCAAAUUGCGGGGACGUCCUAAAGCUUUCACGACCAAGCCUUGUUCUGAAAAGUCAAGGUGGCCAGGUUAAUAGCCUCGGGUAUGGUAAAACUGUGAAAGAUGUAACAAUGGAUAAUCCGCAGCCAAGCUCUAAGGACUUGAAAAGGUCUAUGAGUGCAGUUCACAGACUAGAUGGUAGUGGGUGUAGCAUGUAUGUGCUGUGCUUAAGAUAUAGUCGAUCCCGCUGCGAAAGCAGACUGGUGAAUAAAGGUAUUCAGCUCCUCAACAUAAGGCUGUUUACCCCGAGUCACUGGGGGGAGCGUGUCUCUCUGGGUG